AGAUUGAACGCUGGCGGCAUGCUUUACACAUGCAAGUCGAACGGUAACAGGCCGCAAGGUGCUGACGAGUGGCGAACGGGUGAGUAAUGCAUCGGAACGUGCCCAGUCGUGGGGGAUAACGCAGCGAAAGCUGUGCUAAUACCGCAUACGAUCUAUGGAUGAAAGCGGGGGACCGAAAGGCCUCGCGCGAUUGGAGCGGCCGAUGUCAGAUUAGCUAGUUGGUGGGGUAAAGGCCACCAAGGCGACGAUCUGUAGCUGGUCUGAGAGGACGACCAGCCACACUGGAACUGAGACACGGU
RNAcentral lists this ribosomal RNA (299 nucleotides) under uncultured soil bacterium. RNAcentral describes it as "partial 16S ribosomal RNA". It matches the Rfam family "Bacterial small subunit ribosomal RNA", at positions 26 to 330 of the family's 1533-position model. The record is from RNAcentral.